AAGAUGAGGAGCACUUUAAUUUCUCACAUCCUAAUUUUCAAAUCAUACCUUCUGAAGGAGAAAUUUGGCCCAAAUCGUCGAUAGAGUUAACAGCACUUUUUUUUCCUGACAAGAAACAUUUGUUUAAAACUGUUGCGUUUUGUGACGUGCUGGGAUUAGACACUAGGUUGCCUCUAAUGCUUGAAGGUAAUGGACUAGGUCCUAAUAUUGUCCUCUGUGCUGAAUCGUUAAACGUCAAUCGCAUUUAUAUGCGGCGUAUCCACGAAUACGAUAUCACAUUCACUAAUCUCGGGUUUAUAAACGGCACCGUCACUUGGAUACCACAUAUUACUAAUUUUGGGGGUAGGAUUUGCUGCCAUCCUAACCGAAUUGAAUUAAAGCAUAAACAGGUUAAGAUGAUAAUAAUGCAGUUUAGUAGCGACGAGGAGGGAAAGUUUGUUGAAGAAGUUAUGUUUAAAAUUGAAGAAUCGGGAGAUAUUUUAACAGUGGC
This is a long non-coding RNA of Agrilus planipennis (emerald ash borer), 490 nucleotides long. RefSeq lists it as uncharacterized. The record is from RefSeq and is a predicted model, not a curated record. Lineage: Eukaryota; Metazoa; Arthropoda; Insecta; Coleoptera; Buprestidae. The transcript is spliced from 3 exons.